This 813-nucleotide ribosomal RNA is filed under the name Lacticaseibacillus casei. RNAcentral describes it as "bacterial SSU rRNA". It matches the Rfam family "Bacterial small subunit ribosomal RNA", at positions 8 to 785 of the family's 1533-position model. The record is from RNAcentral. Lineage: Bacteria; Bacillati; Bacillota; Bacilli; Lactobacillales; Lactobacillaceae.
AGAGUUUGAUCCUGGCUCAGGAUGAACGCUGGCGGCGUGCCUAAUACAUGCAAGUCGAACGAGUUCUCGUUGAUGAUCGGUGCUUGCACCGAGAUUCAACAUGGAACGAGUGGCGGACGGGUGAGUAACACGUGGGUAACCUGCCCUUAAGUGGGGGAUAACAUUUGGAAACAGAUGCUAAUACCGCAUAGAUCCAAGAACCGCAUGGUUCUUGGCUGAAAGAUGGCGUAAGCUAUCGCUUUUGGAUGGACCCGCGGCGUAUUAGCUAGUUGGUGAGGUAAUGGCUCACCAAGGCGAUGAUACGUAGCCGAACUGAGAGGUUGAUCGGCCACAUUGGGACUGAGACACGGCCCAAACUCCUACGGGAGGCAGCAGUAGGGAAUCUUCCACAAUGGACGCAAGUCUGAUGGAGCAACGCCGCGUGAGUGAAGAAGGCUUUCGGGUCGUAAAACUCUGUUGUUGGAGAAGAAUGGUCGGCAGAGUAACUGUUGCCGGCGUGACGGUAUCCAACCAGAAAGCCACGGCUAACUACGUGCCAGCAGCCGCGGUAAUACGUAGGUGGCAAGCGUUAUCCGGAUUUAUUGGGCGUAAAGCGAGCGCAGGCGGUUUUUUAAGUCUGAUGUGAAAGCCCUCGGCUUAACCGAGGAAGCGCAUCGGAAACUGGGAAACUUGAGUGCAGAAGAGGACAGUGGAACUCCAUGUGUAGCGGUGAAAUGCGUAGAUAUAUGGAAGAACACCAGUGGCGAAGGCGGCUGUCUGGUCUGUAACUGACGCUGAGGCUCGAAAGCAUGGGUAGCGAACAGGAUUAGAUAC